ACAGCAGUAGCCGCGGUAAAACAGAGGGUGCGAGCGUUAAUCGGAUUUACUGGGCGUAAAGCGUGCGUAGGCGGCUUUUUAAGUCGGAUGUGAAAUCCCUGAGCUUAACUUAGGAAUUGCAUUCGAUACUGGGAAGCUAGAGUAUGGGAGAGGAUGGUAGAAUUCCAGGUGUAGCGGUGAAAUGCGUAGAGAUCUGGAGGAAUACCGAUGGCGAAGGCAGCCAUCUGGCCUAAUACUGACGCUGAGGUACGAAAGCAUGGGGAGCAAACAGGAUUAGAUACCCGUGUAGUCCCUGUCUCUUAUAC
RNAcentral lists this ribosomal RNA (305 nucleotides) under uncultured bacterium. Its description in RNAcentral is "partial 16S ribosomal RNA". It matches the Rfam family "Bacterial small subunit ribosomal RNA", at positions 508 to 807 of the family's 1533-position model. The record is from RNAcentral.